RNAcentral lists this unclassified non-coding RNA (373 nucleotides) under soil metagenome. RNAcentral's name for it is "partial contains 5.8S ribosomal RNA, internal transcribed spacer 2, and large subunit ribosomal RNA". The stretch from base 1 to 121 matches the Rfam family "5.8S ribosomal RNA", at positions 35 to 154 of the family's 154-position model. The record is from RNAcentral.
GAUGAAGAACGCAGCGAAAUGCGAUAAGUAAUGCGAAUUGCAGAAUUCCAGUGAGUCAUCGAAUCUUUGAACGCACAUUGCGCCCUUUGGUAUUCCGAAGGGCAUGCCUGUUCGAGCGUCAUUAUCACCCCUCAAGCCCUCGGCUUGGUGUUGGACGGUUUGGUGGAGGCCCCCUCGGGGGCUCCUGCCCCUCCCAAAGACAAUGACGGCGGCCUCGUUGGACCCCCGGUACACUGAGUUCUUCACGGGACACGUAUCGGACACAUGGGUUUACGGGACACGGUCUGCCUCCCCUCAGGGAGAAUCUUUCUAAGGUUGACCUCGGAUCAGGUAGGACUACCCGCUGAACUUAAGCAUAUCAAUAAGCGGAGGA